UAUAGGUUUGGUCCCAGCCUUCCUGUUAACUUUCAAUAGACUUAUACAUGCAAGCAUCCACGCCCCGGUGAGUAACGCCCUUCGAAUCACACAGGACUAAAAGGAGCAGGUAUCAAGCACACACUCUUGUAGCUCACAACGCCUUGCUUAACCACACCCCCACGGGAGACAGCAGUAACAAAAAUUAAGCCAUAAACGAAAGUUUGACUAAGCCAUAUUGACUAGGGUUGGUAAAUCUCGUGCCAGCCACCGCGGUCAUACGAUUGACCCAAGCUAACAGGAGUACGGCGUAAAGCGUGUCAAAGCAUCAUACUAAAUAGAGUUAAAUUUUAAUUAAACUGUAAAAAGCCAUAAUUAUAACAAAAAUAAAUGACGAAAGUAACCCUACAAUAGCUGAUACACCAUAGCUAAGACCCAAACUGGGAUUAGAUACCCCACUAUGCU
RNAcentral lists this ribosomal RNA (444 nucleotides) under Ovis aries (sheep). RNAcentral's name for it is "partial 12S ribosomal RNA". The record is from RNAcentral. Lineage: Eukaryota; Metazoa; Chordata; Mammalia; Artiodactyla; Bovidae.